RNAcentral lists this ribosomal RNA (465 nucleotides) under uncultured bacterium. Its description in RNAcentral is "bacterial SSU rRNA". It matches the Rfam family "Bacterial small subunit ribosomal RNA", at positions 338 to 795 of the family's 1533-position model. The record is from RNAcentral.
CCUACGGGUGGCACCAGUGGGGAAUAUUGCGCAAUGGGGGCAACCCUGACGCAGCCAUGCCGCGUGAAUGAAGAAGGCCUUCGGGUUGUAAAGUUCUUUCGGUAGCGAGGAAGGCAUUUAGUUUAAUAGACUAGGUGAUUGACGUUAACUACAGAAGAAGCACCGGCUAACUCCGUGCCAGCAGCCGCGGUAAUACGGAGGGUGCGAGCGUUAAUCGGAAUAACUGGGCGUAAAGGGCACGCAGGCGGUGACUUAAGUGAGGUGUGAAAGCCCCGGGCUUAACCUGGGAAUUGCAUUUCAUACUGGGUCGCUAGAGUACUUUAGGGAGGGGUAGAAUUCCACGUGUAGCGGUGAAAUGCGUAGGGAUGUGGAGGAAUACCGAAGGCGAAGGCAGCCCCUUGGGAAUGUACUGACGCUCAUGUGCGAAAGCGUGGGGAGCAAACAGGAUUAGAUACCCGUGUAGUC